Regulatory RNA element from Pasteurellaceae bacterium 15-036681, 120 nucleotides. It matches the Rfam family "Histidine operon leader". Rfam says of the family: At least 6 amino acid operons are known to be regulated by attenuation. NCBI's taxonomy places the organism in Bacteria, Pseudomonadati, Pseudomonadota, Gammaproteobacteria, Pasteurellales, Pasteurellaceae. The record is from Rfam.
UCACCACCACCAUUUACCUGAUUAAUCUUUCGGGCAUUUGGCGUGUGCGGAAGAUAGACUUCCGAGUACGCAUAGAGCAAAACAUCAACCCCUCGGAAGCAAUUCCGAGGGGUUUUUCUU